GGCCUAACACAUGCAAGUCGAGCGGUAGAGAGAAGCUUGCUUUUCUUGAGAGCGGCGGACGGGUGAGUAAUGCCUAGGAAUCUGCCUGGUAGUGGGGGAUAACGUUCGGAAACGGACGCUAAUACCGCAUACGUCCUACGGGAGAAAGCAGGGGACCUUCGGGCCUUGCGCUAUCAGAUGAGCCUAGGUCGGAUUAGCUAGUUGGUGAGGUAAUGGCUCACCAAGGCGACGAUCCGUAACUGGUCUGAGAGGAUGAUCAGUCACACUGGAACUGAGACACGGUCCAGACUCCUACGGGAGGCAGCAGUGGGGAAUAUUGGACAAUGGGCGAAAGCCUGAUCCAGCCAUGCCGCGUGUGUGAAGAAGGCCUUCGGGUUGUAAAGCACUUUCAGCGAGGAGGAAGGGUUCGGUGUUAAUAGCACUGUUCAUUGACGUUACUCGCAGAAGAAG
RNAcentral lists this ribosomal RNA (450 nucleotides) under uncultured Gammaproteobacteria bacterium. RNAcentral describes it as "bacterial SSU rRNA". It matches the Rfam family "Bacterial small subunit ribosomal RNA", at positions 45 to 490 of the family's 1533-position model. Lineage: Bacteria; Pseudomonadati; Pseudomonadota; Gammaproteobacteria. The record is from RNAcentral.